Molecule: long non-coding RNA, 613 nt
Filed under: Panicum hallii
Lineage: Eukaryota; Viridiplantae; Streptophyta; Magnoliopsida; Poales; Poaceae
Description: long non-coding RNA (PHAL_LNC000305)
Source: RNAcentral
GGCUCUCCGCCUAGAUCAGAGCACGUAUUUUCGUUUCAGCCUCUCAUUCUCACCCACUCACGCGCUCUCUAGCUCUCCCUUAUCUCCAUUCUUUUCUCCUCAUCGACUCUGCAUCUCGCGCUUAGGGUUUCACCGGCGGGAGGCGACUCCGGAGCGCGCCCAUCGCGCGCCACCGGCAAGGCGGUUGGGACCCGUACCAUCGCCAACAGAGCUCGCCAUGGCGGCGGCGACGGAGGGAGGCGGAGCUCCACACGGAUCUGCCUGCGCACUCGGUCCGGCCUCGCGGCGCGAUGGGCGACGACCGAUUCCCUUCGUGGGCGGCACAUCGGGGAGGAUGCGGCAACUCCGGCAGAAGCCUGCACCCAGCAGGGACCACCAGUGCCGGAGGUCUGUUUUGGCGUAUCUUAUGCUUCGCAAGCGCACAGAAUUCAGAGUCUCGCAGUAUUCUAGCGUAUUGUAAAUUUAUAUGGGGAAGCACCAUGAUCUAAAGAGUAUCGAUGAAUUGAGCGAUAAAUCUUAGUGGAAAUAUCAACCGACUAACUUAGUGGGGUAAGCCAGAAAUGAUAAGAUAGGAUAAAUGGCCAGGCAAUGUUCGUUUGACACAAGAGACUCU